GCCGGAGGCUGCAAGCGUUAUCCGGAAUGCUUGGGCGUAAAGCGUCCGCAGGUGGCCGUUCAAGUCUGCUGUCAAAGACCGGGGCUUAACUUCGGAAAGGCAGUGGAAACUGAACAGCUAGAGUAUGGUAGGGGCAGAGGGAAUUCCUGGUGUAGCGGUGAAAUGCGUAGAGAUCAGGAAGAACAUCGGUGGCGAAGGCGCUCUGCUGGACCAUAACUGACACUCAGGGACGAAAGCUAGGGGAGCGAAUGGG
Molecule: ribosomal RNA, 253 nt
Filed under: uncultured bacterium
Lineage: Bacteria
Description: partial 16S ribosomal RNA
Rfam family: Bacterial small subunit ribosomal RNA
Source: RNAcentral